This 1589-nucleotide ribosomal RNA is filed under the name Candidatus Dechloromonas phosphorivorans. Its description in RNAcentral is "partial 23S ribosomal RNA". It matches the Rfam family "Bacterial large subunit ribosomal RNA", at positions 371 to 1976 of the family's 2925-position model. Lineage: Bacteria; Pseudomonadati; Pseudomonadota; Betaproteobacteria; Rhodocyclales; Azonexaceae. The record is from RNAcentral.
ACUCGUGCUGAUGAGGCAUGGGUGAUGCGUUGUGAUUGCAUCGAUCGUUACACUGGGAGUGUAACGAUCAUGAACAAAAUGAGUUUGCCAUCCUCCAAGGCUAAAUACUCGUGAUCGACCGAUAGUGAACUAGUACCGUGAGGAAAGGCGAAAAGAACCCCGGAGGGGAGUGAAAUAGAUCCUGAAACCGCAUGCAUACAAACAGUGGGAGCGGACUUGUUCCGUGACUGCGUACCUUUGUAUAAUGGGUCAGCGACUUACGUUGUGUUGCGAGCUUAACCGAAUAGGGGAGGCGUAGCGAAAGCGAGUCUGAUAAGGGCGUUUAGUAGCACGGCGUAGACCGAAACCGGAUGAUCUAUCCAUGGCCAGGAUGAAGGUGCCGUAACAGGUACUGGAGGUCCGAACCCACUAAUGUUGAAAAAUUAGGGGAUGAGCUGGAUAGGGGUGAAAGGCUAAACAAAUCCGAAAAUAGCUGGUUCUCCCCGAAAACUAUUUAGGUAGUGCCUCAUGUAUCACUUGCGGGGUAAAGCACUGUUAUGGCUAGGGGGUCAUCGCGACUUACCAAACCAUGGCAAACUCUGAAUACCGCAAAGUGCGAGCAUGGAGAGACAGACAGUGGGUGCUAACGUCCAUUGUCAAGAGGGAAACAACCCAGACCGCCAGCUAAGGUCCCAAAGACACAGUUAAGUGGGAAACGAAGUGGGAAGGCAUAGACAGCUAGGAGGUUGGCUUAGAAGCAGCCAUCCUUUAAAGAAAGCGUAAUAGCUCACUAGUCGAGUCGUCCUGCGCGGAAGAUGUAACGGGGCUCAAACUGUGAAACUGAAGCUGCGGAUAUCCGUAAGGAUAUGGUAGGGGAGCGUUCUGUAGGUCUGUGAAGGUGUCUUGUAAAGGAUGCUGGAGAUAUCAGAAGUGCGAAUGCUGACAUGAGUAGCGAUAAAGGGAGUGAAAAGCUCCCUCGCCGAAAGCCCAAGGUUUCUACGCAACGUUCAUCGGCGUAGGGUGAGUCGGCCCCUAGGCGAGGCUGAAAAGCGUAGUCGAUGGGAAACAGGUCAAUAUUCCUGUACCGAUUCUAGAUGCGAUGUGGGGACGGAGAAGGUUAGGUCAGCCAUCUGUUGGAAUAGGUGGUUUAAGCGUGUAGGUGCCCGCCUAGGCAAAUCCGAGGAAUUAUCUGAGGCGUGACGACGAGGCACUACGGUGCUGAAGUGAUUUGUACCAAGCUUCCAGGAAAAGCCACUAAGCUUCAGUCUAGAAUUGACCGUACCGCAAACCGACACAGGUGGGCAGGAUGAAAAUUCUAAGGCGCUUGAGAGAACUCAGGAAGGAACUCGGCAAAUCAACACCGUAACUUCGGAGAAGUGUGCCCCGGUAGGUAUAAGGCCUCGCGCCGAAAGCCCGAUGGGGUUGCGGUGAAAUGGUGGCUGCGACUGUUUAUCAAAACACAGCACUCUGCAAACACGAAAGUGGACCGUAUGGGGUGUGACCUGCCCGGUGCCGGAAGGUUUAAUUGAUGGGUGCAAGCUCUUGAUCGAAGCCCCGGUAGGCACGGCCAUAACUAUAACGGUCCUAAGGUGGCGAAAUUCCUUGUCGGG